Molecule: ribosomal RNA, 391 nt
Filed under: Stygnopsis sp. MZSP 73176
Lineage: Eukaryota; Metazoa; Arthropoda; Arachnida; Opiliones; Stygnopsidae
Description: partial small subunit ribosomal RNA
Source: RNAcentral
UAGAUACCCUAGUAUGUUAUUAUAUAAACUUAUAAGUAAUAUUAAAGAAACUAAAAAACCUUGACGGUUAGAAUUAAAUUUUAGAGGAGUUUGUCUCCCAGAAUUUACUCUCUAUAUUUUUAAAAAUUUAAAGUUUAUUAAUCUCCGUUAUUAAGAUACUAACAUUUUUAUCACCUCAAGAUAUUAUUACCUUAUAUUUCAGGUCAAGAUGUAACUAUAAUUUUUCAAAGAUUAACUACAAUAAUAUAAUAUGUGGACAAAGUUUAUCAGCCUACCUUUUAAAAAUGGAUUUAAUUGUAAUUUUUUUUACCAUAAACUUAUGAAAAAUAAAUUCUAAUGCACAGAUUGCCCGUCACCCCUUAUGAACAAAAUAAGGGUAAGUCGUAACAAA